This 253-nucleotide ribosomal RNA is filed under the name uncultured bacterium. RNAcentral's name for it is "partial 16S ribosomal RNA". It matches the Rfam family "Bacterial small subunit ribosomal RNA", at positions 524 to 776 of the family's 1533-position model. The record is from RNAcentral.
UACGUAGGCAGCAAGCGUUGUUCGGAGUUACUGGGCGUAAAGAGUGCGUAGGCGGUGCCCCAAGUCUGUUGUGAAAUCCCUCAGCUUAACUGGGGAACUGCGUCUGAUACUGGAUGGCUUGAGUGCAGGAGAGGAACGCGGAAUUCCAGGUGUAGCGGUGAAAUGCGUAGAUAUCUGGAGGAACACCGGUGGCGAAGGCGGCGUUCUGGACUGCAACUGACACUGAGGAACGAAAGCCAGGGGAGCAAACGGG